Molecule: ribosomal RNA, 484 nt
Filed under: uncultured Amycolatopsis sp.
Lineage: Bacteria; Bacillati; Actinomycetota; Actinomycetes; Pseudonocardiales; Pseudonocardiaceae
Description: bacterial SSU rRNA
Rfam family: Bacterial small subunit ribosomal RNA
Source: RNAcentral
GUGGCGAACGGGUGAGUAACACGUGGGUAAUCUGCCCUGUACUCUGGGAUAAGCCUGGGAAACUGGGUCUAAUACCGGAUAUGACCUUUCACCGCAUGGUGGGGGGUGGAAAGUUCCGGCGGUAUGGGAUGAACCCGCGGCCUAUCAGCUUGUUGGUGGGGUAAUGGCCUACCAAGGCGACGACGGGUAGCCGGCCUGAGAGGGUGACCGGCCACACUGGGACUGAGACACGGCCCAGACUCCUACGGGAGGCAGCAGUGGGGAAUAUUGCACAAUGGGCGCAAGCCUGAUGCAGCGACGCCGCGUGAGGGAUGACGGCCUUCGGGUUGUAAACCUCUUUCGCCAGGGACGAAGCGCGAGUGACGGUACCUGGAUAAGAAGCACCGGCUAACUACGUGCCAGCAGCCGCGGUAAUACGUAGGGUGCGAGCGUUAAUCGGAAUUACUGGGCGUAAAGCGUGUGUAGGCGGCCAUGCAAGUCGGAU